UGGCGAACGGGUGAGUAACACGUGGGUAACCUGCCCAUCAGAAGGGGAUAACACUUGGAAACAGGUGCUAAUACCGUAUAACACUAUUUUCCGCAUGGAAGAAAGUUGAAAGGCGCUUUUGCGUCACUGAUGGAUGGACCCGCGGUGCAUUAGCUAGUUGGUGAGGUAACGGCUCACCAAGGCAACGAUGCAUAGCCGACCUGAGAGGGUGAUCGGCCACACUGGGACUGAGACACGGCCCAGACUCCUACGGGAGGCAGCAGUAGGGAAUCUUCGGCAAUGGACGAAAGUCUGACCGAGCAACGCCGCGUGAGUGAAGAAGGUUUUCGGAUCGUAAAACUCUGUUGUUAGAGAAGAACAAGGAUGAGAGUAAAACGUUCAUCC
Molecule: ribosomal RNA, 384 nt
Filed under: Enterococcus casseliflavus
Lineage: Bacteria; Bacillati; Bacillota; Bacilli; Lactobacillales; Enterococcaceae
Description: bacterial SSU rRNA
Rfam family: Bacterial small subunit ribosomal RNA
Source: RNAcentral